Molecule: ribosomal RNA, 1456 nt
Filed under: Salmonella enterica subsp. enterica serovar Hvittingfoss
Lineage: Bacteria; Pseudomonadati; Pseudomonadota; Gammaproteobacteria; Enterobacterales; Enterobacteriaceae
Description: partial 23S ribosomal RNA
Rfam family: Bacterial large subunit ribosomal RNA
Source: RNAcentral
AGGGUAUAGACCCGAAACCCGGUGAUCUAGCCAUGGGCAGGUUGAAGGUUGGGUAACACUAACUGGAGGACCGAACCGACUAAUGUUGAAAAAUUAGCGGAUGACCUGUGGCUGGGGGUGAAAGGCCAAUCAAACCGGGAGAUAGCUGGUUCUCCCCGAAAGCUAUUUAGGUAGCGCCUCGUGAACUCAUCUCCGGGGGUAGAGCACUGUUUCGGCUAGGGGGCCAUCCCGGCUUACCAACCCGAUGCAAACUGCGAAUACCGGAGAAUGUUAUCACGGGAGACACACGGCGGGUGCUAACGUCCGUCGUGAAGAGGGAAACAACCCAGACCGCCAGCUAAGGUCCCAAAGUCAUGGUUAAGUGGGAAACGAUGUGGGAAGGCCCAGACAGCCAGGAUGUUGGCUUAGAAGCAGCCAUCAUUUAAAGAAAGCGUAAUAGCUCACUGGUCGAGUCGGCCUGCGCGGAAGAUGUAACGGGGCUAAACCAUGCACCGAAGCUGCGGCAGCGACACUGUGUGUUGUUGGGUAGGGGAGCGUUCUGUAAGCCUGUGAAGGUGGCCUGUGAGGGUUGCUGGAGGUAUCAGAAGUGCGAAUGCUGACAUAAGUAACGAUAAAGCGGGUGAAAAGCCCGCUCGCCGGAAGACCAAGGGUUCCUGUCCAACGUUAAUCGGGGCAGGGUGAGUCGACCCCUAAGGCGAGGCCGAAAGGCGUAGUCGAUGGGAAACGGGUUAAUAUUCCCGUACUUGGUGUUACUGCGAAGGGGGGACGGAGAAGGCUAUGUUGGCCGGGCGACGGUUGUCCCGGUUUAAGCGUGUAGGUGUGUGUUCCAGGUAAAUCCGGUUCACUUUAACACUGAGGCGUGACGACGAGGCACUACGGUGCUGAAGCAACAAAUGCCCUGCUUCCAGGAAAAGCCUCUAAGCAUCAGGUAACAUCAAAUCGUACCCCAAACCGACACAGGUGGUCAGGUAGAGAAUACCAAGGCGCUUGAGAGAACUCGGGUGAAGGAACUAGGCAAAAUGGUGCCGUAACUUCGGGAGAAGGCACGCUGACAUGUAGGUGAAGUGAUUUACUCAUGGAGCUGAAGUCAGUCGAAGAUACCAGCUGGCUGCAACUGUUUAUUAAAAACACAGCACUGUGCAAACACGAAAGUGGACGUAUACGGUGUGACGCCUGCCCGGUGCCGGAAGGUUAAUUGAUGGGGUCAGCGCAAGCGAAGCUCCUGAUCGAAGCCCCGGUAAACGGCGGCCGUAACUAUAACGGUCCUAAGGUAGCGAAAUUCCUUGUCGGGUAAGUUCCGACCUGCACGAAUGGCGUAAUGAUGGCCAGGCUGUCUCCACCCGAGACUCAGUGAAAUUGAACUCGCUGUGAAGAUGCAGUGUACCCGCGGCAAGACGGAAAGACCCCGUGAACCUUUACUAUAGCUUGACACUGAACAUUGAGCCUUGAUGUGUAG